CCAGACUCCUACGGGAGGCAGCAGUUAGGAAUAUUCGUCAAUGGGGGAAACCCUGAACGAGCAAUGCCGCGUGAACGAUGACGGUCCUCUGGAUUGUAAAGUUCUGUUGUUUGGGAAGAACGGCUCUAAUAGGAAAUGAUUAGAGAUUGACUGUACCAUUCAAGAAAGCCACGGCUAACUACGUGCCAGCAGCCGCGGUAAUACGUAGGUGGCGAGCGUUAUCCGGAUUUACUGGGUGUAAAGGGUGCGUAGGCGGCUUGGCAAGUCAGUAGUGAAAUCCAUGGGCUUAACCCAUGAACUGCUAUUGAAACUGUCGAGCUUGAGUGAAGUAGAGGUAGGCGGAAUUCCCGGUGUAGCGGUGAAAUGCGUAGAGAUCGGGAGGAACACCAGUGGCGAAGGCGGCCUACUGGGCUUUAACUGACGCUGAGGCACGAAAGCGUGGGUAGCAAACAGGAUUAGAUACCCUUGUAA
Molecule: ribosomal RNA, 471 nt
Filed under: uncultured bacterium
Lineage: Bacteria
Description: bacterial SSU rRNA
Rfam family: Bacterial small subunit ribosomal RNA
Source: RNAcentral